GUAGUCUCGCACAGAUGCAUAUCAAUAAGCGGAGGAAAAGAAACUAACAAGGAUUCCCCUAGUAACGGCGAGUGAAGCGGGAAGAGCUCAAAUUUGAAAUCUUAAAGGGUUUCCCUUUACGAAUUGUAGUUUAAAGAAGUGUUUUCUGUUGAGGUUUUGGUAAAAGUUCUUUGGAAUAGGACAUCAUAGAGGGGGAGAAUCCCGUAUUUGACCUUUACUUUCAACUUUGUGAUACACUUUCAAAGAGUCGGAUUGUUUGGGAAUGCAGUCCAAAAUGGGUGGUAAAUUUCAUCUAAAGCUAAAUAUUGGCGAGAGACGCGAUAGCGAACAAGUACCGUGAGGGAAAGAUGAAAAGAACUUUGAAAAGAGAGUUAAACAGUACGUGAAAUUGUCAAAAGGGAAGCGUUUGACACCAGUGUUGUUUUUCUGAAAAUCAAUUAAAGAACUGUUUAUGCUAAGUUGUUUAGACUUUAUCAGCUAAUCUGCUUAGUUUUGAGCUUUUCUUUAAUGCACUUUUCAGUUAACAAGUCAACAUCAAUUUCUUUUGCUGUAAAAAAGCUUGAGGAAGGUGGCUUGAGAUUCGUCUUAAGUGUUUAUAGCCUCCUGCCUAUGCAGUCGGAGAGAUUGAGGUCUGCAGCGUAGAUCCUUCGGGGCUAAAUGCAUUUGUGCUAAGUUAUAGCAUUUUAUAGACAACUUGUUGACUAUGAUUUGUCUUGUAGCUUACUCGCUUAUGUUAUUUUACCUACGCUUAGGAUGUUGACAGCAGUAUAGACUGU
This 776-nucleotide ribosomal RNA is filed under the name uncultured Neocallimastigales. RNAcentral's name for it is "partial large subunit ribosomal RNA". It matches the Rfam family "Eukaryotic large subunit ribosomal RNA", at positions 24 to 637 of the family's 3401-position model. Lineage: Eukaryota; Fungi; Neocallimastigomycota; Neocallimastigomycetes; Neocallimastigales. The record is from RNAcentral.